UACGGGGGGGGCAAGCGUUGUUCGGAAUUACUGGGCGUAAAGGGCUCGUAGGUGGCCAACUAAGUCAGACGUGAAAUCCCUCGGCUUAACCGGGGAACUGCGUCUGAUACUGGAUGGCUUGAGUUUGGGAGAGGGACGCGGAAUUCCAGGUGUAGCGGUGAAAUGCGCAGAUAUCAGGAGGAACACCGGUGGCGAAGGCGGGUCUCUGGGCCGUAACUGACGCUGAGGAGCGAAAGCGUGGGGAGCGAACAGG
RNAcentral lists this ribosomal RNA (253 nucleotides) under uncultured bacterium. RNAcentral describes it as "partial 16S ribosomal RNA". It matches the Rfam family "Bacterial small subunit ribosomal RNA", at positions 524 to 776 of the family's 1533-position model. The record is from RNAcentral.